Molecule: ribosomal RNA, 254 nt
Filed under: uncultured bacterium
Lineage: Bacteria
Description: partial 16S ribosomal RNA
Rfam family: Bacterial small subunit ribosomal RNA
Source: RNAcentral
UACGGAGGGUGCGAGCGUUAUCCGGAAUCACUGGGUUUAAAGGGUGCGUAGGCGGCGAGGUAAGUCAGUUGUGAAAUACCCCGGCUCAACCGGCGGGACUGCGAUUGAUACUGCUUUGCUUGAAACAGGUUGAGGUAAGCGGAAUGUGGCAUGUAGCGGUGAAAUGCAUAGAUAUUCCAUAGAACACCGAUUGCGAAGGCAGCUUGCUGGGCCUGAUUUGACGCUGAGGCACGACAGCGUGGGGAGCAAACAGG